Molecule: ribosomal RNA, 497 nt
Filed under: uncultured bacterium
Lineage: Bacteria
Description: partial 16S ribosomal RNA
Rfam family: Bacterial small subunit ribosomal RNA
Source: RNAcentral
GACGAACGCUGGCGGCGUGCCUAAUACAUGCAAGUAGAACGCUGAAGAGAGGAGCUUGCUCUUCUUGGAUGAGUUGCGAACGGGUGAGUAACGCGUAGGUAACCUGCCUUUUAGCGGGGGAUAACUAUUGGAAACGAUAGCUAAUACCGCAUAACAAUGGAUGACACAUGUCAUUUAUUUGAAAGGGGCAAUUGUUCCACUACAAGAUGGACCUGCGUUGUAUUAGCUAGUAGGUGAGGUAAUGGCUCACCUAGGCGACGAUACAUAGCCGACCUGAGAGGGUGAUCCGCCACACUGGGACUUAGACUCGGCCCAGACUCCUACGGGAGGCAGCAGUAGGGAAUCUUCGGCAAUAGGGGCAACCCUGACCGAGCAACGCCGCGUGAGGGAAGAAGGUUUUCGGAUCGUAAAGCUCUGUUGUAAGUCAAGAACGGGUGUGAGAGUGGAAAGUUCACACUGUGACGGUAGCUUACCAGAAAGGGACGGCUAACUACGUG